This is an RNA transcript of Myiozetetes cayanensis, 14069 nucleotides long. It is a transcript of the gene named tumor protein p53 binding protein 1, with no coding region annotated. NCBI's taxonomy places the organism in Eukaryota, Metazoa, Chordata, Aves, Passeriformes, Tyrannidae. The record is from RefSeq and is a predicted model, not a curated record. The transcript is spliced from 30 exons.
CUGGGCCGAGUUGGGCUCCCACGGGCUCCUGGGUUUCGCCGCCUGCGGCGCCCUGCAUGGAGCGCGGCGGCGGCAGAAGCAGCAGCAGCAGCAGCAGCCAGCUGGACCCCGGCUUCUCGCAGCAGGACACACCCCGCCUCAUCGUGGAGGACUCGCAGCCCCAGGGCGCGGGCGCGGAGGCGGACGCGGAGCAGGCCUGGCUCGGUGUGCUGGCCCGCCGGCUGCCGGCCCGGCGGAGCCCGAGCCCCGUGCUGGAGAUCGUGUGCGAUCCCAUCGGCAGCCGGGCGCCCAAGGGCGGCGGGGGGGACCGGGAGCGACCCGCAGAAUCCAUGGAGAGCCCGGCCGGCCUGGCCGCCGCCGGCCCGCGGGGCUGCAUCUCGGAGGAGGCUCCACCGCCCGGCAGGGAGAGCAGUGUCCUUGGAAAGGCCGGGGAACGAGGUGAAGGUGAUGUUGAGGACUGUGCUGCUUCGCCCUAUGCAGAAGAUACAGGCACGUCACAGCUGCAGUUUGGAGCUCUAGAGCUCUCACAGAGCCAGGACUUUGAGAGCAACUUCGUGCCUAAUGAAGGAGAUGGUAGGCAUCAGCUUCACCCUGGAGCUGCAGUUCUUUCUUCCAGACUUGUGGAGAACAGGUCUAAAGAUGCUGUACAGAUGUUAUCAUCAUUGAUUCUUGCACCUCUCUUUCCUGAUUUGUUUCCGGAACAUUUAGACAAUUUGAUAUUGAAUUCCCUCCCUGAACUGCAUAGGGACAGGACAGAAACUGUCUCCAACACAGAAGCACAUACUGCUUUGAAAAGCCAGGCAGAGAAGUCUGAAAGAACUCUUCAGGAAGCAGAAGAGCAUAUUAGGAAGAAAACACCUGUCAGUGACCCCAGUAAAACUGAGAAAUCCCUUAGUUCUGGUCAUGAGGAGUCAGAUAUCUUGUCAACUCAGGAAGAGAUGUUUCCUGAGAAUCAUGCAACAGGGAGUGGCUGUCCAAUAACCAGGGCAGAAGAGGGAAGUUCUCUGGCCUGUACCCCUGCCCGCAGUCUGCACGUCCUGCAGCUCUCUGGACAGGCAGUCCUUGUACAGGAGGGUCAUUCCAUUGUCUCUUCAGGCCUGGUUAUUCCACCUCCUGUUGCCUUUGGACCCAGUGCUCUUGUCCCCAGCAGUCCUACUGAACAAGAACAAGGAAAAGAUGAACAGGUGGAUAUAUCUAUCCCUGCAGAAGGAAGAGAACUGAUGCAAAAGCAGAAAGAUGAUACACUGGUGGAGAUGGCCAUCCCAUGUAUUCCUCCAAGACCCCUUGUCCAGCCACAGGCUUCAACUCCAGUGUCCCUGAGUGCACCAACCUUCUUUCCUGGGUCUGGAUCUGUACCUAUACCAUCACAACCAGAGUUUUCUCAUGACAUCUUUGUUCCAACUCAGAGCCCAGAGAAGAAGCAUGAAGGAGAAGAAAAACCUGCUGCUUUAACCCCUUUGUGCUUAUCAGGAGACCUCUCUGGACCCACAGAUGCUUUGUCAAAGAUAUCUAUAGGCAACUCUGCAUCAAAGCCUUCUGAGUCCUGUAAGCUGAUGCUUUCUGCAAGUGUAUGUAGCCAGCCCUUGAAUACAGACAUCAGUUCAGGUUCUCUGAACACAGGCCAAGACAGUGAAACCACACAGGUAGAGAGGAUUUCUGAAUGCAGGGCCUCAGACUUGAGACUCUGUACUGUGGAGAAUAACCAAAUAAAACUGAAAGUGAAUGCAGGUAAUCAAGCACUCUCUGAAAACUGUGAAAAAACCAAAACGGAGGAUGUAUGGGCUGCAGGAGUGCCUGUAGGGCAGUUUGUUAGUGCAGGAGAUGGGUCAUUAGCCCCUACAGCUCAUCAGGAGAUCGAGUGUGUUUCUGGAAAUCAGGCUGCUGCAGAUCAGUCUGGUCUGCCUGAGAUUUUGUCAGAUACUCAGGGUAGAGAAGUACAGUCUGAGGAUUUUCCAUUGGAAGAGACUUAUGAACCUGAGGCAGUUCCUGAGACGCAAUGUGAAGAACAAGAAGAAAAAGUGCAAAUAAAGGAGAAGCAAGUAAAUGAAGAUGGGUCUCUUGUUAAUAUAACACUUUCUCAGAGGUUUAUUCUUGAAAGGGAAGGACAAUGUCAUGAAGAUAUGGAAGUGGAAUUUGCUGAUGAUUCUUGUAAAAAGAGAAAAAAUUUGUUUGAUCGGGCCCAGGACUUAGAAGAGAUUGAACCAGAAGGUCAGGGAAAAAAAUAUUCGAAAGGUUGUACUUUUGACAGUGGUGAGGCAAAGAACCUGGAUAAACUGUCCUCUAAGGCUGUUGCAGAAAACGUGCCAAAGCUCAAUCAAGUUUUAGCUAAGCCUUCUGUAGGAGAGUUACUGGAGCAACACAACAAUUUGUGUCCUAAGAUAAAGAGUGAUGUUCAAUUGGAAGUGGCGUUAUGUGCCAAAAAACAUCUAGGCUGUUCAGAAUUGGGACAGGUAAUGAUGAUAAGCAAUCAGCCACCACUUCAAGAGAAAGGGGUUGAAACACGGGUGGUUCAGCACGAGAAUCGGGUGCCAAAGAGUAUGGAGGAUACUGUUAUGACAAGGAAUCUGGAGCAAGAAGAGCAGGUGCAGCCACAGAAGAAGGCAACUGCUAAAUCCCCCCGUCCUUCCAGUGGAACCCCAUUUCAUCUUACUUUGCCGAAGGAGGGUGAUAUUAUUCAGCCCUUGACCAGCAGAACACCACCUCUUACUGGCCACCUUAAAAUGGGACCCAGAAGACACAGUACACCAAUUGUGGAUGGUAGUUGUCCAGACAGCACUAUAGCAACCAGUGAUGUUACAGCAGAGAGCACAAUGGGGACCGACAAUGUCACUGUGGAAAGUGCAGUGGUGUCAGCAGAUGUGUCAGAAGUGUGUGAGAAGGGAGAGUUGGAUGCAAAACUUUCUCUGCGAAUGAACCUUGUUACCCCUGUGAACGAUGGGAGUGAGGAGUCCUUGCCAUUCAGUUUGGAAAAGCCUAUAGACAGGAAAGAUGGAUCCUCUGCUGCUGCUAGGACUGCUGCCAGCUCCCAGAAAGCAUCAUCUGUGUUUAGUCGUGUCUGUGAAGUUCGUCGGGAGGAUGAGGCCAGAGGUCAUGGUCUUUCCACUUCUCCGUUUAGGGGAAAUCUGUUCAUGUUUCCUGGCACAGAAGAAGAUGCUGAAUUACAUGCAAAUCCCAGUGAUUGGCAGUACCAGCAACACAAGGCAGAUGGCAGUGGUGGACAGAUCCUGAUUCCUCAGAGGAUGCAGCAGGACUGCUGUCAGCAAUCUUCUGGUGCAGAGGAUGGAGAGUCUAUGGAGACUGAUGUCAUGAGCACUCAGGCAGAAGGGAGAAGAAUGCAGAGGAAACAAAGUAAGGCUGUUAAAACUGAUCUAAGUCAAGAGAGGUGGGAAAACACCAAGAAUAAAGGGAUCCAGACUACAGCAGACUGUCUUUUUACCCCAACAACUGUUACAACUUCAACACAAACAUCAGAAGAAAUGUGUAGACAGGUGGAAAUGGGAACCAGUAUGUCUGGGCAGAGACCUGGGCGAAAAGAUGUGAGUGUCCAAACUGACGAGAGUGGGGAAAAGCUUGUGAACGCCUCUGGAGACGACACGGACUCUUUGCACAGUCAGGGAGAGGAGGAGUUUAACCUUCUUCACCCACCCAAGGGUCAGGUUCAGCGUCGCCACAUGCGAACCAUUCGAGAAGUACGCACCAUUGUUACACGUGUUAUAACAGAUGUUUACUACAUCAAUGGUGCAGAGGUGGAAAGAAAAGUCGUUGAGGAAACUGAGGAGCCUGUAGUGGAGUGUCAGGAAUGUGAGACUGAUGCAUCCUCCUCCUGUAGAACUGCAGUGGGCUCGUCACUGACCUCAGGGGAUCUUGGUGAUGUCAGUUCCUUCUCAUCUAAGGCCUCAAGUCUCCACCGCACAUCUAGUGGAGCAAGCAGCGGUCACUCUGCCACGCACAGCAGCAGCAGCUCAGGACGAGGAACUGGAACUGUCAAAGGAAAAGCGUGUGGGACAGAAACUGGAGGAUUUGCUUUACCUACUGGCAGAGGCAUCUUAGGAAAAUUAAGCCCUAGGAAAGGAGCUGGGCAGCCUGCAUCUCCACUCAGAGUUAGCCAGAUGGGAGCACUGCCGUGUGAGGAAGAGGACUCUAUGACUGGCACUCGUCAGUGUGGCAGGGCACCUGUGACACCUCGUGGACGAGGAAGAAGAGGCCGCCCACCUUCUCGAACAACAGGAACAAGAGAUUUAGCUGGACUGCCAGGUGUGGAGGAUCUCUCAACUAUGGCAUCACCUGAGAAGAAACCAUUUACUCAUUCAGUUCGCGAACCAGGUGGAGGGGAGAAAUCUGACACUUCUGGCUUCUAUGCGUUACGUCGAAGCGACUCUCCAGAAAUCCCAUUACAAGUGAUGACUGGUCCUUUGGACUGUGCGGACUCAUCCUCUGGGAGCAGCUUUGUGGGCCUCAGGGUUGUAGCAAAGUGGUCCUCAAAUGGGUACUUUUAUUCUGGGAUGAUUACCCAAGAUGUUGGGGCUGGAAAGUACAAGCUGCUCUUUGAUGAUGGAUAUGAAUGUGAUGUGCUAGGAAAAGAUAUUUUACUCUGUGAUCCUAUCCCACUGGAGACAGAGGUGACCGCACUGUCUGAGGAUGAGUACUUCAGUGCAGGUGUGGUGAAGGGGCACCGGAAAGAGUCUGGAGAGCUAUACUACUGCAUUGAAAAGGAAGGCCAGAGGAAGUGGUACAAACGAAUGGCUGUUAUCCUGUCUCUGGAACAAGGAAAUAAGCUCCGUGAGCAAUUUGGGCUAGGUCCUUAUGAACCAGUCACCCCUCUGACCAAAGCAGCUGACAUCAGUCUUGAUAAUCUGGUGGAGGGGAAGAGGAAGCGACGUAGUAACCUUGGUUCUCCCAGCACUUCCAGCAGCAGCACAACUCCUACUCGUAAAGGGCAGGAGAGUCCACGCAUCCCACCAGGCACACUGUCUGGGAAAAGGAAACUUGUUGCAUCUGAAGAUGAGCAAUCCCCAGCUAAACGUGGCCGCAAGUCAGCAAUGAUAAAGCCUGGGGCUAUGAGAGCUGGAGAGUUUGUAAGCACCUGUGAAGGUGUAGGUGCUGUAGAUCCCCCAGUACUUGAGGAACAUCAUGGACCUUUGCCCCUCAAUAAGACCCUCUUUUUGGGCUAUGCCUUUCUUCUCACCAUGGCAACACCAAGUGACAAGUUGGUCGGUCACCAGAAGCCAUCAGAUGGUCCCACGGGGAGCAGCGAAGAGGAAGAAGAAUUUCUAGAGAUGACUCCGUACGACAAACAUUACAUAGCACAACAGCUGCAAGCAGGAGCUGGCUAUAUCCUGGAAGACUUCAAUGAAACCCAGUGUAAUGCAGCAUAUCAGUGUCUUUUAAUUGCGGACCAGCAUUGUCGAACUCGGAAAUACUUGCUGUGCCUUGCCAGCGGGAUCCCUUGUGUGUCUCAUAUCUGGGUCCAUGAUAGCUGUCAUGCUAACCAGCUUCAAAAUUAUCGGAAUUACCUUUUGCCAGCUGGAUAUAGCCUUCAGGAGCAAAAAUUGCUAGAAUGGCACCCACGAGAAAACCCAUUUCAUAACCUAAAGGUUCUCCUGGUGUCAGACCAGCAACAGAGCUUCCUGGAUCUGUGGUCUGAAAUUCUCAUGACAGGGGGAGCAGCGUCUGUUAAACAGCAUUACUCAAAUGCUCACAACAAAGUGACUAUAUAAUUAACCUGCCUUAGUGGAGACUGCCACUACCUAAGUAGAGAUACAGACUCAAGAACCUUGGACAGCUAAACUGCUGGGAGACUUGGGGUUCAAAGAGCAUUCCUUUAACACCCUGACGAAAGAAUAACUGCAUGAGAAGUGAUCCUUGUGGUCCAGGAUAAGGUAAGCUGUGAGCCACAAGAAUUCCUAGAUGUUAGUUAUCCAAAAGAAGGGAUAGAGGCACCAACAAAUACCUGCCUCAUUCUGUUCCAAUAUCUGCCCACAUUCCUCCUCUCUGUGCACAUAGAAUUUCCAGCCUAAGUACAGUUGAUUGAUUAAAAUAAUUACAAGUCCUCAUAUAGAACAUCUCAGCUCACACUCUUGUACUACAACUGUUAAAGUCAAGAUAACUUGGCAGAUUAGGCAGAUAUUUGCAUGGAAGAAGAGCAGAUCCACAGAAACACAGAUUCACCUUCACCAAAAUACUGAGUUGUGCAGCUCCCCGUUCAUCUAAGGGGCCGAGAUUCUGACUGACCAGAGAACAAAAACUAUGACAAAGAUCCAGAAUUUCAUUUAAGCAGUGGAAAACCUGCAUGGGAUAAAAAGCACAAGAUAAGUAGUUGAAACAGAGUUCAAACACAAGGAAAGCACUUUUUGGUACCCAAAAAGUUGCAGCAUUCAUAAUCAAGAUGUUGUGAUACUGUAUUUUUUAACCAGUAAGGAAGAUGUUAAAGUACCUGUAGCAUUUUUGUAAGGUUUUCUAUUGAGAAAGGGUUUAAAUGUUAUGCUGCAUCUCCCCCUCCUGCCCUUCCCCCCUCCCUCCAACCUUUUGCAGACAUUACUGGGGAAACAGGAUUGGCAUGAGCUGUCCACUAGGCAGAGCAGUUGAACACUGGCUUUCCUGUCCAACCGGCAGGUCAUUCACUGCAGCUUCGGGAUGAAGAAGGAAGAAUAAAGACCAGCAAGAGCUAUGGUUCAAGGCUUUGAUUUCACUGUUCACUGAACUUGGAAUUUUUUUGUAUCAGUUGGUCAAGGUAACUUGCAUUCAAGAGUGUUAAGAAAGCCCAAAUGCUUCACAGAUGUAACUACUGGAACACAUCAAAAUUCCAGACUGGAUAAUUGGUAUUCUGCCACCUUUAUGCUACAAUAGUCUCAUUGAGCAAAAAGACACUGUUUCACUGAAACUAACUUUCUUUGGGAAUGCUUUUGUGAAGUUAAAGUGUUUAUAAAUAUACUCCAACAUUAUAACACAUUUUUUAUUAAAAGACAAAAAGACCCUUAAAAGUCCACUCCGGAACAUCUCAGCUAUUUUUAUUCUCUUAAGUAGAAGUAGGAGAGACAAUUUUUCCUAGUCUAAUGCAUUUCAGCAUGAUGCCCUCAAGAAUACAGUUCCCAGCAUUAUGCUCAUUAGUACUUCUUUAAUAAAAUGGCCUGUGAUAAAAAUAUAGUGAUAAAGUUAGUAAGGUUAACUGAACACUGAAAGCAUCUUGAUUUAAAAUUCACAUUGCACAAAAUGCAGCAUUCACACUCACCAACUGUAAAUUAAGUGAUCUUAAUUUGAUUAUCUGUUCCAGUUUAAACCUGCCUUAUUCCUAGAAUUGUAGUCUGUGCUUUCCAGAUUAUCACUGAUCUGUUUUAAAAGAUAUGUUUUGUCAUAUCUGUUCAAAGAGGUGUGUAUCUUAGGGCAGUUGGAGAAUUUGUAGAAAAAGGUGAAAACUAGACCUACUUACAGGUUUUAGGAGGAUGAAAGACUGAGCCAACAAGUUACUUAAGAAAUGAUCGUGAGCCAACCGUAUACUCUCAAAAUCUCGUGUGGCAUUUAUCUGCUGCAGAAGCUGUGAGAACUGAGACUCCAGUACAUCUACCUGAUGGAUAUGUAAAGAUAUCUCAUUAGUAUCUUGAGGAAUGGGAGUACUUCAGACCAUCCAGAAGUUUUGUGUAAGAAACUUGCUUAUUGCUACUCUUAUGUUAGAGACUGAGGAUCCCCUUCUCUCUACCCGAGAAUAAGAAAUUAUAGACAACAGCAGUAUGUAACGGGGGGGAAAGGAAUUUUUGAUGCCUAAGUAAUAUCUAUGUAGAAAGGGAAACAGUCACUUUCUUUAGGAUUAACUAUUAAAAAAGUAUAUAACCAGCAUGUAAACAAAAGUAUUUGAUUGUAGUAAUCUCUGAAUUUUAUAUGGGGAGAUGCUAUCUGGAAUCUUAGGGCAAAGGCUGCAGUGCAAAAGCUCAGCCAGAGAUGAGAUACUCUGGAGAAUCUAGAAAGCCAGGCCCCAUCAAUUCGCUGUUACAACUAUUAACAAAGCGAUAGGUAAUUCUCACAAAGACAUGCUAUUAGUAACUGCUGUUUACAUUUGAAAAGUCUCUUUUUUGGCUUCAAAUGGUCAGAAUAUGUCCCUCUUUCAAUUCUUUAAAAAACCAACCAACCAAAAAACCCCAAAACUUAACUCACUGUGGAGUUCAUGUAAGAGGCAAAGGAAGAAACCAGGAUGGCAUCUUAAUGAUGAUCCUUCAAGGAUGUCUGUGGUUUCUCACAAAUGUUUAGUAGCACUAGAGAGCCACUAGAGAACUCCUGCAUUUCUACUAACACUAACUGAAUCUCAAGUCCAAAAACUUUUUAAUUGUAACACUAAGCCUGGGAACUUGAAGGAAGUGUAGCCUUGUAAAGGAAAUCCUGAUUUCCUUACAGUAGAAAGAAUCUGAAACCUGAGGUCUUCAGUGCUCCCUCCAUGCAUUUUUGCUAGUUCCUGACUAACUGAUAGUUUGUCUUUCUCUGUAAAUACUGACCUGCAGAUAAUACUGAAGAUUGUCCACAAGGAAAGCCAUGUGAUCCCUCAGACGCCACUUGAUGGCAUCUGUUCUGUUCGAUUUCAAGUGUUUGCGUUGCAUCUGGAGAGCCCAGCAGUGCUGUAGCUCAGCCUGGACUCGUCGCACACUCAGCAGGUAUUUGAACACAACAUUGUACCUAUGGUGAAAAAAAUACAAAGUUGUUUAAGACUAAAAUCUUCCUUGGCUGCAGGUACUAGAGAACAUAACAAUGCAAGACUGGAAAAAGAAACAGGAGGUGGCUGCCUGUCAAUAGAUAGGGCAGAUCAGGUGAUGGCUCAUCUCAGAGUAAGAUUUCUGCUUGUACUGGUUACUGACCUAAAAAAUACAGAGUUAAUUUUGGUGUAAGGAGGGGAGCUGCCAGUUAAAGUAGCACUGUUUGUAAAUUAAUGCAAGUCUGUCAGCAUCUUGUAGGUCUUAGUAUCAUUACACAGAUUCUCAAUAUGAGUAAGUGAAAAGAGCCAUUUUAAGGUUCAGAGAGCAAGAUGAAGUAUUAUAGCUCUACCUUUCUCUCCAUAGUGAGAAAAAAAACCCAUUAGUGAGUGCCUGAGCUCAGGGAACAUAUAGAUGAAUAUACAAAGACCAUACCUAGUACUUACUUCUCAAGAACAGCAGGAGUAAAGAGAAUGUGCAGUGGCCACUGAACUUUGUAAGAAAGGCCCAGAGCUGCCCAUCCAGAUGUGGGGGCUUCACGUGGAGAUAACUCCCGGGAAGGCCCUUCGCGAGUCUGAGAAGUAUCUGAAAACAAAUGAGGUGCUAAAUUACGUUAUGUUCUUUUUCACUGCAACCAUGGCAAGGCAGAAAAGGGGAAAGGGAGAGAAAAGAAUUAAGAGCCAAAGCAGUCUGGGCCAUUACAUUGGGCUGUAAAGGGAACAAAAGUAGUAUUUCUUUAACUUCAGAGAAGAGCAACAAGAUUUGAAAACAAGGUCAUCAUCUCCCAUCUUAACUCACCAUUAAAAAUGCAAGUAUAUAUACCUUUAUGCUCCUUUCCGUGAUACUCAAUGGUUAAGUGAAGAAGAGGAAGAAGGUUGUCAUCAUCUAAGAGCACCUUAUGAGCAGACUGCUGAAAUGCAACGUUGACAUCUGACAACAAGAGAACACACAUACCAACUCAAGAUGAUGCAGCUAGUGCUAAUUUUGCACCCAUUAGUUAUUUAUGCCUGGCCACAAAAGACAACACUGAUGCACUAUUGCCACUGGUUUAAUUCCAGCUUCAAAUAUGGGGAGAAACCUGGCAUCUGAAAGUUUCUGAGAGGUUGUUUUCACUCUGUGAGACAUUCUAGUUUACAAAUGCUGUUGUCUCAAAACUAAUGAUAUCAUCUAGAAGGUAAGAUGAUAGCACUCUCCUGUACCUGGACAUGGCUCACCAUUUUCCUCCUACACCACAGUGAGGACACUUUGAUAAGUGAAUAAGCAACACUCACCAUGUUCAGUUACAGCCGUAGGUGGCGUCUUUAACAUGUGCUGUGCAGUGUCAAUGAAAGCCUGAAACAGCUCACCUCUUCCCAAAAGAUAAAAGUCUUUUAUAAUCUGUGAAGAUAAACGUUUUGUAUCUAAACAUACCAAAAUGAGCAGAAAUUUUAAGCAUCCUAGCUGAUAGCAUCUGUUUUUAUUAUUCCUUGGACAACUUCUGCCAUUUAAAACACAGCUGGAGAGCUCUGAAUUUCAUUCACUGCCCAAAGAGUCUACACCACCUUUGCUUCAAGAUGCAAACCACAAAACCAUGUACAGAUACCCCUCUAACUCUUAUCACUCCGUGCUCGUUCUUGAGACCUGGAAAAUGAAAACAACUUUAUCUAAAAGAAGAAAGCCCAGAGUAGAAGGCAGUAAGUAUUUAAUGGGAAACAGCAAUUUAAAAAAGAAAGAAAGAGAUAAGCUGCUUCAGCAAAAACAAACUAGCAGUUCCAUUACCUUCAGUUGUCCUAGUAGAUCCGAUUCCUCCACCAUCAGUUUCCAAAGAUGCUAGUGAGGAAACAAAAGCCAGACAAAACAAGAGACCUCCCCUCAGAAUUGUCUUACCCGUUCAGAGAGAAUAGUAGCUGUCUUGAGACACUUGCAAUGAACACAAAAAAAGCACCUAUAGCCAAUGCUAUAUAAAGCACAAGAGAACACAGCGUCCUGUGUUCAUGCAGCCCAUGCAACUAGUUAGAACUCUUGAUAUAUACCAGCAAAAAAUUCUGCCUAAGGCACAUGAAGACCCUUGACAAAAAAAAAAAAAAAAAAAAAAGGGCAAAUUCCUAUGAAAUCAGUUCCACCUCAGCUUUGUUCUCACUUUUCUAACCUCCCCAAUCUUCUCCGGUUCUCCUCCCCACCGCAACUGAAAAAAAAGGAUUAAAAAUUGCUAAAGCAAAGAAUAUGUUCAGUGGGCUGAUAUCUAUUAGACUAAAAGCACAAUGAAAAGUUCUGGAGUCGUUUCAGGUGAAAUGAAAAAAUAUACAAAAGCCUCCCUUCUUUCGCCCUUGCAAGUGCAUAGUAUUUGUUAAUGUCCUUUUGUCAUUAGAAGCUGGGGUUACAUGAAGCUCUGAGACCCAUAAGAACAUGAACGCUACCUACAUGCUCACAUGCUUGUUCAAUCACUGAUUCUGAAAAGCCCCCUUCUUCCAGUCACUCACAAAAUUUAAAUGCUCCUCAGCCUGCAUAGCAGUUACCCUUCCUAGGAGGCUUACCUCAGCAACAGUGCUCCGUAUCCAGUCAACCACUGAUUCAAAGUCCACCAAACUAAAGAGCGGUUGCUGCUUGAGUCGAUGUAGCUCUGCUGCAAAAGUGUCCUCCUGGUUUUUUAGGAUAGAGCCUGGGCAGCAAUGAGAAGUGUUUUGGAGAGUAAAAAGGAAUGCCGUUUGGAGACAUGCAGACCCCUUCCAGCACAGUGGGGCAGAAAGGCUGUCCAGGCAGCACUGUCUCAGGUCCGGCACGGAACGUGAAGAGAAGGUCUCAAAGUACAAGUACCACGGUACAAGAUUACUAAUACAGGUACAGUUACAGUAUAGAUACUUGCCAUGGCAGUGCCGUGGUAUCAGUAAAAAUGCCAAAUGUUUUCUACAUAAUUGGUUGUUGCUGACAACCCUUUUUCUAUAGGACUGAGCUAGAUCUUUGAACCCAAAAAAAAGUUGGUUUGGUUCUCCCCCUAUCCCUGCUCUUUUCAAAUCUAUCCUAUUGUUUGAACUUGGGGACUUUUUUUUCAACCAGCUGAGCUAGAAGACCAACUUUUUUUUACCUUGCUGCUGCUAAGGUAAGAAAACAGUCCAGCUGAAUUGGUGCUUCUUUCUUUGUAAUGUCACUCAAGUAAUUUAAGUAUUUUGCUUAGACAAACUCAAGAUAGAGCCACCACAGCAGUCCUCCCCAGCGUAAGAACGUAUUUCCCAAACCAGCUCCAGCGUAAACUUAGCAGGCUCUCAAAGAGAGCCAUCAGCUGAAUUACCUCUCCCUUGCUGUCUUCAAGGCUCCAUCUUGAUAAUUUGCCUUCCACAGCAACUUUUGGCCCCACCUUGCAAAUGAAUUUCUCGUGUUGGUGGAUGCAUGUUAAUACUGUGACACCAUUCUGCAACAUAUACACUCAGAGCAAGAUGUGUCAUUGUGUCUAUCUGCAGAAUUUAGGGACAGGGAUGCAAACAGAAAGGAAAACAAGACCUUUGCAAUCGCUUUAUUUAUCCAGAGCAAAUCACAUGGUGACUUGUUGCUGGAAAUUUGGAGACUAUGUUUGGAAAGUGUUAUUUACUCAUCCUGUUCUUAUAUUGCUCCCUUGGAAUCAAUCAGAAGCAGAACACUGGGACCACUGCCCUGUUCUGGCACGACCAUCCAUAUAGUCUGAAGAAUAUCAACCAAUAGUCAGUGAUUGUUGAGGAAUUUGUUAAUAUUGGGAAGCAUUUUGGAAACUACUUAUCAGUCAGUCAUAACUAAGCAGAGAUUGCAAGAAAGAGGUUCAUUACCUUUUCUGGUCAGGUUGACAUUCUGAUUCUCAAACAUCUGUACAGAUUCUCCCACGAAGAGGAUUUUCUCAGCAACCCGCACAGGAAUGUAUGAAGGCAGCAUUUCUACUCGCAGAGAAAACUGUUUUAGAGAUGGAGCUAACAUGUUCUCCUCCUCAAUCAAGCGCUGUCACCAGGGAAAAGAAAUCAAGUGCAAACCAGUGUGACAAUCAGAGAAAACAGAUUCAGAAAAGAAGAAAUUCCAUCCAACAGCAUCUUAUCCUAUAAAAUGCACUGUGAUUAUAAAAUGCUAGUCAUCAAAGAUCAUACUGAUAAUGGAAAAAAGUCAAAUCCAGUGUAAACAGAUUUGCAAAAUAGUUAUUCAGUACUUACAGUAGUACUAGUAAUAGGGCAUCUAUUACUCAAACCACAUUCUUUGCUAGUAUUAAAAGUCUGGGAUGGGUGCAGAAAUAAUGUUAUCUGUUAAAGAGGAAACUAGUUUGUUAAGAGAAACUAGCUGUAAUUCUACUGUACCUUCUGAGUUUUGAUCUGUUCCACCAUGACCAUCACAGAGGGGAAGAGUAACUGAAACUGCAGAACAAGGAGCAAAAUACUGAAUUAGGUUGUUAUGCAAGGAAGAGAGAAAACACUAUAGUUGAGUAAGUCUGGACAGCAGCUGAACACGACAAUUUAAUGAAACUGUUAUAUGUCUUUCCCCACAAAUGAGAAACAUGACAUGAAAAUCUCUCGGAAGGAUGUCCUCCCUUCACUGGAGCAAGAUGCACAAAGUUACAUUCCAGAAGUAGUUCAGGCUAAACACAGGCAGAAAGGAAUGUGUGAGAGUCAAGGUGGAGGACCUAAGCUUUGUGUUGAAGUGCAGGUGAUCCUCUGAACAUGAUUAAGGGACUACAGAUGUAGAGGUGUUAGACAGAAAUGGCAUGAUGUGACAGACUAAACCUUCUUUAUCCCACACGCUUUCUUAUUAGACUCAAUGAGUGAUAAGAGUAACCAAAGAACACUACCUGUUUAUUAACAUGACAUACCUGGUCCAAGGAAUAAUUAACAUGCGAGAUGGAAAGAUGUGGGUCAGUCAGAAACUGUAAAGAUAAAGCAAUUAAUGAAAAGUAAUUAUGACAACCACUGGAUGGUCAUAGUACCCAAGAUAUGACAGCUAUUAAUCUAGCAGAGAUUAAGCAAAACCUUUAAAAUUGAAAACAGGAGACAACAGUCUGAGACAGCACUGGGCUCUGACACAGAUGGAGCACUUACUGAACUGAAGGAAGAGGGGACUUCAUACUUAUUAGGAUGAAGAGUAAUUUACAAUAGUAUCUCACAGGAAUAAUUUGGAAGGCAUCCCUCAUGAGGAAAGGAAAAUACCUUGUCUCAUUUUAGGUACUACUACUUAGCAUAUGCAUUGCAGAAAUGACAACUUUCCACCAUCUGUCAGCAGCAGGACCGCCUCUUGUUCCACGUCUCCCUCCUUUACCUCUUGUUCUAGGUCAAGUAGUGCCUGUCGAUAUGGCUGCAGCACUGAAUCAAGACCUGUGCAGAAGGCUCGCAAAUAUAUGCCAUGUAAUCCGCUCUGGUUUUGCUGAGAUGGGUGAUGGUCCUGAAAUCAAACAAUAAAAACUGCAUCAGCACCCUA